GAUGAACGCUGGCGGCGUGCCUAAUACAUGCAAGUCGAGCGAACAGACAAGGAGCUUGCUCCUUUGACGUUAGCGGCAGACGGGUGAGUAACACGUGGGUAACCUACCUAUAAGACUGGGAUAACUUCGGGAAACCGGAGCUAAUACCGGAUAAUAUUUCGAACCGCAUGGUUCGAUAGUGAAAGAUGGUUUUGCUAUCACUUAUAGAUGGACCCGCGCCGUAUUAGCUAGUUGGUAAGGUAACGGCUUACCAAGGCGACGAUACGUAGCCGACCUGAGAGGGUGAUCGGCCACACUGGAACUGAGACACGGUCCAGACUCCUACGGGAGGCAGCAGUAGGGAAUCUUCCGCAAUGGGCGAAAGCCUGACGGAGCAACGCCGCGUGAGUGAUGAAGGUCUUCGGAUCGUAAAACUCUGUUAUUAGGGAAGAACAUACGUGUAAGUAACUAUGCACGUCUUGACGGUACCUAAUCAGAAAGCCACGGCUAACUACGUGCCAGCAGCCGCGGUAAUACGUAGGUGGCAAGCGUUAUCCGGAAUUAUUGGGCGUAAAGCGCGCGUAGGCGGUUUUUUAAGUCUGAUGUGAAAGCCCACGGCUCAACCGUGGAGGGUCAUUGGAAACUGUAAAACUUGAGUGCAGAAGAGGAAAGUGGAAUUCCAUGUGUAGCGGUGAAAUGCGCAGAGAUAUGGAGGAACACCAGUGGCGAAGGCGACUUUCUGGUCUGUAACUGACGCUGAUGUGCGAAAGCGUGGGGAUCAAACAGGAUUAGAUACCCUGGUAGUCCACGCCGUAAACGAUGAGUGCUAAGUGUUAGGGGGUUUCCGCCCCUUAGUGCUGCAGCUAACGCAUUAAGCACUCCGCCUGGGGAGUACGACCGCAAGGUUGAAACUCAAAGGAAUUGACGGGGACCCGCACAAGCGGUGGAGCAUGUGGUUUAAUUCGAAGCAGCGCGAAGAACCUUACCAAAUCUUGACAUCCUUUGACAACUCUAGAGAUAGAGCCUUCCCCUUCGGGGGACAAAGUGACAGGUGGUGCAUGGUUGUCGUCAGCUCGUGUCGUGAGAUGUUGGGUUAAGUCCCGCAACGAGCGCAACCCUUAAGCUUAGUUGCCAUCAUUAAGUUGGGCACUCUAAGUUGACUGCCGGUGACAAACCGGAGGAAGGUGGGGAUGACGUCAAAUCAUCAUGCCCCUUAUGAUUUGGGCUACACACGUGCUACAAUGGACAAUACAAAGGGCAGCGAAACCGCGAGGUCAAGCAAAUCCCAUAAAGUUGUUCUCAGUUCGGAUUGUAGUCUGCAACUCGACUACAUGAAGCUGGAAUCGCUAGUAAUCGUAGAUCAGCAUGCUACGGUGAAUACGUUCCCGGGUCU
RNAcentral lists this ribosomal RNA (1372 nucleotides) under uncultured bacterium. Its description in RNAcentral is "bacterial SSU rRNA". It matches the Rfam family "Bacterial small subunit ribosomal RNA", at positions 28 to 1381 of the family's 1533-position model. The record is from RNAcentral.